GCUCAGGAUGAACGCUGGCGGCGUGCUUAACACAUGCAAGUCGAACGAUGAUCCCAGCUUGCUGGGGGAUUAGUGGCGAACGGGUGAGUAACACGUGAGUAACCUGCCCUUGACUCUGGGAUAAGCCUGGGAAACUGGGUCUAAUACCGGAUACGACCAUCUGGCGCAUGUCAUGGUGGUGGAAAGCUUUUGUGGUUUUGGAUGGACUCGCGGCCUAUCAGCUUGUUGGUGGGGUAAUGGCCUACCAAGGCGACGACGGGUAGCCGGCCUGAGAGGGUGACCGGCCACACUGGGACUGAGACACGGCCCAGACUCCUACGGGAGGCAGCAGUGGGGAAUAUUGCACAAUGGGCGCAAANNNUANGGGCGCAAGCCUGAUGCAGCGACGCCGCGUGAGGGAUGACGGCCUUCGGGUUGUAAACCUCUUUCAGUAGGGAAGAAGCGAAAGUGACGGUACCUGCAGAAGAAGCGCCGGCUAACUACGUGCCAG
RNAcentral lists this ribosomal RNA (490 nucleotides) under Paenarthrobacter nitroguajacolicus. RNAcentral describes it as "bacterial SSU rRNA". It matches the Rfam family "Bacterial small subunit ribosomal RNA", at positions 22 to 511 of the family's 1533-position model. Lineage: Bacteria; Bacillati; Actinomycetota; Actinomycetes; Micrococcales; Micrococcaceae. The record is from RNAcentral.